UACGAAGGGGGCUAGCGUUGCUCGGAAUCACUGGGCAUAAAGGGCGCGUAGGCGGCUUUCUAAGUCAGGGGUGAAAUCCGGCAGCUCAACUGUCGCAGUGCCUUUGAUACUGGAGAGCUCGAGGGAGGUAGGGGUCUGUGGAACUUCCGGUGGAGCGGUGAAAUGCGUUGAUAUCGGAAGGAACGCCGGUGGCGAAAGCGACGGACUGGAUCUCUUCUGACGCUGAGGCGCGAAAGCCAGGGGAGCAAACGGG
RNAcentral lists this ribosomal RNA (253 nucleotides) under uncultured bacterium. RNAcentral describes it as "partial 16S ribosomal RNA". It matches the Rfam family "Bacterial small subunit ribosomal RNA", at positions 524 to 776 of the family's 1533-position model. The record is from RNAcentral.